ACGGAUAACAGGGGUGCUUGCACCGCUGACGAGUGGCGAACGGGUGAGUAAUGCGUCGGAAUGUACCGUGUAAUGGGGGAUAGCUCGGCGAAAGCCGGAUUAAUACCGCAUACGCCCUGAGGGGGAAAGUGGGGGACCGUAAGGCCUCACGUUAUACGAGCAGCCGACGUCUGAUUAGCUAGUUGGUGAGGUAAGAGCUCACCAAGGCGACGAUCAGUAGCGGGUCUGAGAGGAUGAUCCGCCACACUGGGACUGAGACACGGCCCAGACUCCUACGGGAGGCAGCAGUGGGGAAUUUUGGACAAUGGGCGCAAGCCUGAUCCAGCCAUGCCGCGUGUCUGAAGAAGGCCUUCGGGUUGUAAAGGACUUUUGUUCGGGAGGAAAUCCCGCUGGUUAAUACCUGGCGGGGAUGACAGUACCGGAAGAAUAAGCACCGGCUAACUACGUGCCAGCAGCCGCGGUAAUACGUAGGGUGCAAGCGUUAAUCGGAAUUACUGGGCGUAAAGCGUGCGCAGGCGGUUGUGCAAGUCUGAUGUGAAAGCCCCGGGCUUAACCUGGGAACGGCAUUGGAGACUGCACGACUAGAGUGCGUCAGAGGGGGGUAGAAUUCCAUCGUGUAGCAGUGAAAUGCGUAGAGAUGUGGAGGAAUACCCGAUGGCGAAGGCAGCCCCCUGGGAUA
Molecule: ribosomal RNA, 679 nt
Filed under: Chromobacterium sp. INBio3713H
Lineage: Bacteria; Pseudomonadati; Pseudomonadota; Betaproteobacteria; Neisseriales; Chromobacteriaceae
Description: bacterial SSU rRNA
Rfam family: Bacterial small subunit ribosomal RNA
Source: RNAcentral